GUCCUGUUACUCACUUUUGAGCUUGUGUUUUCAGGUUGACCAACAAAUGACCAAUGAGGCCAAUUCUUUUUGAUUGAGUUUGCUUGAAUAUCAUUGUUUAACUUGUUGUUUUGUAGGUGGCUUGGCUCUCAAGCCUUAAGCCUUGUGCAUUGCACAUUCAUUUGCUUCUGACUAACUGUUAAUGUCUGUUUCCUUUUGCUUUGAUUUGAGUUGCAUACUAACAUCUGCUUGAC
This 233-nucleotide long non-coding RNA is filed under the name Lathyrus oleraceus (garden pea). Its description in RNAcentral is "Pisum sativum (pea) long non-coding RNA (PSAT_LNC018542)". The record is from RNAcentral. Lineage: Eukaryota; Viridiplantae; Streptophyta; Magnoliopsida; Fabales; Fabaceae.